Non-coding RNA from Schistosoma curassoni, 45 nucleotides. The record is from Rfam. Lineage: Eukaryota; Metazoa; Platyhelminthes; Trematoda; Strigeidida; Schistosomatidae.
UUCUGCAUGAGGAGCCUCAAAUAGGACGAAACGCGCGUCCUGGAA